CAGCAGCCACGGUAAUACGAAGGGAGCGAGCGUUGUUCGGAAUCACUGGGCUUAAAGCGUGCGUAGGCGGAAAUGUAAGUCAGAAGUGAAAGCCCAGGGCUCAACCCUGGAGCUGCUUUUGAGACUGCAAUUCUAGAAUUCGGUAGAGGCUAGUGGAAUGUCCAGUGUAGAGGUGAAAUUCGCAGAUAUUGGACGGAACACCAGUGGCGAAGGCGACUAGCUGGGCCGAUAUUGACGCUGAGGCACGAAAGCGUGGGUAGCAGACAGGAUUAGAUACCCCAGUAGUCCCUGUCUCUUAUAC
This 301-nucleotide ribosomal RNA is filed under the name uncultured bacterium. Its description in RNAcentral is "partial 16S ribosomal RNA". It matches the Rfam family "Bacterial small subunit ribosomal RNA", at positions 509 to 807 of the family's 1533-position model. The record is from RNAcentral.